AUUGCAGCAGGUAAUGCCCAGCCCCGGGCACUCUGUGCAGGCGGUGUCCUUGAAGCUCUACCCAGCUCUUGGCUCUGGGAAAAGGGAACAAUGGACACUGUCGGGCAUGGACAUGAUGGGGCUUCCAGAAGAGUUACUCUGGGCCUCCAGGGUGACGUCAAAGGACAGGGGUGUCUCUUAAGGUGACCUUCCAGCCACAGCCCUUUUGUUGGAGACAGGCAUACUCCCGUUACAGUCAUCACCACAUGGCUCUGUCCCAGAGUCAUGACUGUGUCUUUCAGAGACCACAGGAGGAAAACAACCACUUCUGGGAUGAGGACAGGGCCCUUGAGAGAAGGUGGUGUUUGGCUGGGCCACCGAAAACCCCUCGCCCCUGCCAGCACACUCAGUCUCCUCUCUGGUCGAACAGAGCUCUGCCUGUGGUCCUGGGUCCCAGCCCUGAAAACCACAGGUCCAGCGGUGGCCAGGGACACAGGCCCACCCCUGCAAGCCAGCAGACAAAUUGGCAGACGCCUGAAACACGAAGUUCAUGGCAGGAUCAGGCUUUGUGUCAUUCACAGCCCUCUAGAUAGGCCGAGAACCAGAACUCAUUUUUUAAGGAACACCAGUGAGUCUGGAGAUUUUUUUCUUUUGCUUCGGUCUUUUGCAGCUUUCUCUACUAAGGGUUCUCCUUUUUCACCCAAGUAAUUGCCUUUCCAUCUAAUGGCCCAAAUGGUCAAAUGGCAUCUACUAGUCUCAUAUGACCGCUGCCUCUCUGGCCUCGCCCUGCUGCUGAGGUCAGCAUGACCUGGAACUGUCCGCUGGUCCCUUUCAGUAACCUGAAGCUUUCACCGUAGACGUGCUGUAUAGCCCAGAAGCCAUCGUGUCGCUGGUCGGGGUCCUGCGGAGGCUGGCUGCCUGCCGGGAGCACCAGCGGGCUCCUCAAGUCUAUGUGGCCCUUACCAUCUGCAACCCAGAGACGUGCCAGCUGUUCACCACUGAGCUAUGCCGGGCUGGGAUCAGAUGGGAAGUGGAACCUCGUCAUGACCAGAAACUGUUUCCCUACGAAGAGCACUUGGAGAUGGCAAUGCUGAACCUCACACUGUAGGACUCACAUACGACUCCAACGGGAUUGUGAGAAUCAAGUCACUCUAGUGGGAAGAGUUUUUAUAUGGGAAAGCGGAUAAAACUUUCAUUGGACUGGAAUGUUUGGAGAAUGUUAAUUUCCAAAUCAGGAACCACAAACUGCCCUCUAAUAAGACAUCAGCUAUCUAAGCAUGUGGGUGCUCCCUUUCUGCCAGCAGUUCUGGUUCUUAAGAAAAUCGCCAUCAAUCAGACAUGAAAUCUCUGGCUCCAAAAAUAGCAUUUUCUUUGUGCAAAUAAAAACGUGUGUAUCAAGUAUGAUGUUCCCCCAAUGUGGACACACUCGGUUCCCCACAAAGCCAAGCCCGCUGCAGCUGCCACAUCCCUGGACACAUUCGGUUCCUCACAAAGCCAAGCCCGCUGCAGCUGCCACAUCCGUGGACACACUCGGUUCUUCACAAAGCCAAGCCCACUGCAGCUGCCACAUCCCUGGGCUUACAGUGCAGCAGGUGCUUUUUUCAAGACAGGAAUCAAAAUGUUAGGAACACGGCGGAAAGAUGACACCUGGAGAGCAAACGCAGGAUGAGGAGUACUGCAGAGGUCACACGGAAGUCGCAGAACAGUAAUCCGCUAGCAGGGGCAUGGGGCGUGAAGAACAGAAGAAGAUAGGAAGUGUUUCCGAGCCUCCAGAAAAGAAAUCAGAGCCAAGCACAGCUUCCCGGGUCACAGAACCAAUUCAUUUACCAGGCGGCACCACUGCCGUCAUUUCACCUUCUGGCCACUGGGAGGCGCUGCUCGAAAGGGUUUGCCCUGAGACUCCGAGAAGAAGCUGCGGGAAGGACAGCAGGGGUCCCGGGGUUUUAGCCUCUGGCCCAGGAGUUAUGUGUCCAUAACCAAAUGGAGCACACUCUGCACCCAGCUCUCAUCCCAUCGGAGCUGCUGCGAUUCCCGCAGGUUCUUCCAGAACUGGUUUAGCUUGCCCGCAGGAUCAGGAAAGUUUGAGAAAAGCAUCUGCAAAAAAAUAAAGAGCAGAGCUUAACUCAUUUCCUGUCCCCACCCCAUCCCAGGUCACCACCUGGCUGACCCCAGGUCCCCGACCCAACAACAAACCCUCCCAAGUUCCUAACUCCCUCACUUGGACUCGAGACUCUUCACGCCCCAGCAGCGCUCCGCCUCCAACUUGACAUCACGCUUUCUGUCCCACUUUCCCACACUUCGUGCCCUGGAGCACCUCCCGGCCUCUACACGCUGUAUGUUCCCCUGCGAGCACCCUCCUCUUGGCCUCUGGCCAAGUCCCACCCAUCUGUGGGUAACAAGGGGGUGUUGGUGUUCUUUUCAGCCUUGCUAAACUGUCUGAAUCAAGGAUCACAAACUACAGCCUGCAGGCCAAAUCCAGCCCACAGCCUGUGUUUGUAAAUAAAGUUUUAUUGGAAC
Long non-coding RNA from Homo sapiens (human), 2496 nucleotides. Ensembl annotates it as family with sequence similarity 86, member A pseudogene. Its record names the gene FAM86C2P. NCBI's taxonomy places the organism in Eukaryota, Metazoa, Chordata, Mammalia, Primates, Hominidae. The record is from Ensembl.